Molecule: long non-coding RNA, 224 nt
Organism: Lycium ferocissimum
Lineage: Eukaryota; Viridiplantae; Streptophyta; Magnoliopsida; Solanales; Solanaceae
Exons: 3
Source: RefSeq, a predicted model, not a curated record
UGAAAAAAAAAUGACUUUAUUCGGAGGUAGUCAACCUAAAAUUUAAAUACGUGACUGUAUUCUGAGGUAGUCAACCUGAAAUUUAAAUACGUGACUGUAUUCUGAGGUAGUCAACCUAAAAUUUAAAAACAUGACUUUAUUCUGAGGUAGUCAACCUAUGAAAAUAUGACUUUAUUGUGAGGCAGUCAACCUAAAAAUAUGACUUUAUUUGGAGGCAGUCAACC